Molecule: ribosomal RNA, 550 nt
Filed under: uncultured bacterium
Lineage: Bacteria
Description: bacterial SSU rRNA
Rfam family: Bacterial small subunit ribosomal RNA
Source: RNAcentral
GGGGAAUCUUCCGCAAUGGGCGAAAGCCUGACGGAGCAACGCCGCGUGAGUGAAGACGGCCUUCGGGUUGUAAAGCUCUGUUAUACGGGACGAAAAGUCUUGUGGUUAAUACCCAUAAGAAGUGACGGUACCGUAAGAGAAAGCCACGGCUAACUACGUGCCAGCAGCCGCGGUAAUACGUAGGUGGCAAGCGUUGUCCGGAAUUAUUGGGCGUAAAGGGCGCGCAGGCGGCUUCUUAAGUCUGUCUUAAAAGUGCGGGGCUUAACCCCGUGAUGGGAUGGGAACUGGGAAGCUCAGAGUAUCGGAGAGGAAAGCGGAAUUCCUAGUGUAGCGGUGAAAUGCGUAGAUAUUAGGAGGAACACCAGUGGCGAAAGCGGCUUUCUGGACGAAAACUGACGCUGAGGCGCGAAAGCCAGGGGAGCGAACGGGAUUAGAUACCCCGGUAGUCCUGGCCGUAAACGAUGGGUACUAGGUGUAGGAGGUAUCGACCCCUUCUGUGCCGGAGUUAACGCAAUAAGUACCCCGCCUGGGGAGUACGGCCGCAGGGUUG